GGCCCUCGGGAUGCCGCAGGUGCCGCUUUAUUUAUUUAUUUAUUUAUUUAUGGCUCUUUCAGGGGUUGGCCUCAGCAAAUAUGGCUCCUGAGGCAGCUCGGGGCGGCGGUGAGGGAACUGCUUGCCCCUACCCAAGAUGGCGCCCGUGCAGCCCUGUUGGGCUCGUACCCUGGACAAAGAUGGCCGCCGGCGGGACGGCGCCCCCUUGCCCUUACCCAAGAUGCCGGCCCCGCCUCAGCGGGGCGGCGCGGGGCGACGGGGGGCGGUGAAGGGACGUGAGCGGACCCGGAGCUGCUGUCGGGGGGUGUCCCCUCGCUCCGGGAACCGCCUGGAAGAGGCAGGUGUGGGUUAGGCUCGGCUGGGUGAGAGCGGUGUGGGCAGGCGGCUGGGGGCACAAGUACGGGGCCGGGGGGCGAUCAUCGGCGUGAGGGCCGGGCAUGGCAGGUCUAACCUCCCGCCUGGUGCCCGUGGACACCUGGGCACUGUCCUGAGAGCCGUGGGCGCCUUCGAGAGCGUCAGAGAAAAUUCCUCAGGUGUGAGUGCUUUUUUCAUCAGUUUUCAGCCGGGAGCUGCUGGGGAUCACGGGCUGUGAGAUGAAGAGACCGUUCAGUGGUGAAGGUGCUUGGGAAAGGCAGCACCGCUGUCAGAAGUUUGCAUCUGCUCUAGAAGCAUUUCCUGAAAAACAAAUGGAGACCUAGAAGCUUUAAAAGCUUGGAAAUAACUCCCAGGUGGUAUUUAAGAGAAUGCCAUUAUUAACCAGCCCUUCUUAAAGUCUUCUGGUUUCACCAGCGAUUAUUUUGGUGGAUGAAUGGUGACUUAUGUAUGAGUCUGUCAGUACCAAUGAAAGGUCUGUUAUGGCCCCAGGUACUCUGAGAAUCAGUAAAAACGUUGUUUUAAAAUAUACGGAUGUCUGACAAAGA
Molecule: long non-coding RNA, 920 nt
Organism: Oxyura jamaicensis (ruddy duck)
Lineage: Eukaryota; Metazoa; Chordata; Aves; Anseriformes; Anatidae
Exons: 2
Source: RefSeq, a predicted model, not a curated record